GAUGAACGCUAGCGGCAGGCCUAAUACAUGCAAGUCGAACGGGAUCCAGAUCAAAGCUUGCUUUGGUCUGGUGAGAGUGGCGCACGGGUGCGUAACGCGUGAGCAACCUACCCUUGUCAGGGGGAUAGCCCGGCGAAAGUCGGAUUAAUACCGCAUGACAUCAUUGAGAGGCAUCUUUCGAUGAUCAAAGAUUUAUCGGACAAGGAUGGGCUCGCGUGACAUUAGCUAGUUGGUAAGGUAACGGCUUACCAAGGCUGCGAUGUCUAGGGGCUCUGAGAGGAGAAUCUCCCACACUGGUACUGAGACACGGACCAGACUCCUACGGGAGGCAGCAGUAAGGAAUAUUGGUCAAUGGACGGAAGUCUGAACCAGCCAUGCCGCGUGCAGGAAGACGGCCCUAUGGGUUGUAAACUGCUUUUAUACGGGAACAAACGUCGGUACGUGUACCGGUCUGAGUGUACCGUAAGAAUAAGGAUCGGCUAACUCCGUG
Molecule: ribosomal RNA, 490 nt
Filed under: uncultured bacterium
Lineage: Bacteria
Description: partial 16S ribosomal RNA
Rfam family: Bacterial small subunit ribosomal RNA
Source: RNAcentral